Molecule: ribosomal RNA, 579 nt
Filed under: Cryptops sp. CMMI 20190413007
Lineage: Eukaryota; Metazoa; Arthropoda; Chilopoda; Scolopendromorpha; Cryptopidae
Description: partial large subunit ribosomal RNA
Rfam family: Bacterial large subunit ribosomal RNA
Source: RNAcentral
CGCCUGUUUAUCAAAAACAUGGUUUUUCGCCUGUUUUUCAAAAACAUGGUGAUUUGAUUAAUAUGAGUCAUCAGGCCUGCCCGGUGAGGUUGAGUAAACGGCCGCGGUAUUUUGACCGUGCGAAGGUAGCAUAAUCAAUUGUCUAUUAAUUAUAGGCUUGUAUGAAUGGUCAGACAUAGCUUGACUUUCUUUCUUUUGUAAUUGAAUUUAUGAUUAUAUUAAAAAUAAUAUAGUGUUAGAUUGGGACGAGAAGACCCUAUUAAGCUUGACAAAUAGUUUAAUUAUACUAAUAGGAGCACAAAAGUGAAUUUGUUUGUUUUGCUGGGGCGGUGGUUUAUAUUAAACAUAAGCUAAGAUUAUACUGUGAUCCAUUAUUAAUGAUCAUAUGAUUAAGUUACUGUAGGGAUAACAGCGUAAUAAAUUUUGAGAGUUCUUAUUGAUAAUUUUGUUUGCGACCUCGAUGUUGAUUUAAGAUUCCUUCAGGAGGAAGAAUAUUUAGAAGGUGGUUUGUUCAACCAUUGAAAUCUUAUGUGAUCUGAGUUCAAACCGGAGACUAUAUGAUCUGAGUUCAAACCGGAG